AUGACAGCAGUGGUCAUCACACCAGGUGGAUCUCACACACUUACCUGCACGGCCUCUGGAUUUGGUGGUGAUUAUGACAUGUCCUGGAUCAGGCAGACACCAGGAGGAGGUAUCAGCGGUGAUGAGAUCAGAUUAGAUCAGUCUCCUGCUGUGGUAAAGAGACCUCAGGAAACAGUGAAGAUCUCCUGUAUAAUAUCUGGCUUUAAAAUGACAAGCUUCUACAUGCACUGGAUAAGACAGAAACCAGGGAAAGCUCUGGAGUGGAUUGGAAGAGUUAACUCUGGUAGCGGUGAUGUUAUAUAUGCAGACUCAAUGAAAGAUCAUUUUAUUCUGAGUGAGGACGUUUCUGCAAGUACACAAUAUCUUGAAGCCAAGAGUCUGAGAGAAGAGGACACUGCUGUAUAUUACUGUGCUCGAGAGUCACAGUGA
Molecule: non-coding RNA, 429 nt
Organism: Triplophysa dalaica
Lineage: Eukaryota; Metazoa; Chordata; Actinopteri; Cypriniformes; Nemacheilidae
Source: the annotation of a RefSeq genome assembly